Molecule: long non-coding RNA, 3128 nt
Organism: Equus asinus (donkey)
Lineage: Eukaryota; Metazoa; Chordata; Mammalia; Perissodactyla; Equidae
Source: Ensembl
GGGCGAGUCACUUCUGUCUAUGAGCCUCAGUUUCCCCCUCUGUAAGGCUCAGAUUCAUCCACAGUGCCUCCCUCCCGAAGAUUCGGGAUUAAAUGACCUGGUGCCUAUAAACUGCUCAGCCAAAGUCACUGCCCUCCCUCCACGGGGGCCGUUCUUCCCCCAGCUGGGGUCUUCUGGAAGAUUCUAGACCUGCAACAGCGGGCCCUGCCCGCUCCCGGCAGGCUGCCUCCCCUCCGGGCCCCAGAUUCAGGGGACCACACGGGCGGGCGUUGGGAACACUUCCUGUGCAGUGCCCACCAGGCCAGGUGGGCCAACGGGAGACAGCAGCUGGGGCUGCCCCACUUCCUGCCCCGGGGGGGGGAGGGGCUCCUGGCUCCUUCGCCCCCACCCCCCCAAAAUAACAUCCCCCCCGGAACCAAAGCCACCCACACCAGCUGCAGCCUCCGACUCUGGGGAAGCAGGGCGGGGGGGGGGGGGUGGCCAGCAGCUGCCACCGCCGGGAAUGUCCCCCCUCCCCCACUGCUGCCACCUCCGCAUUCCAACUGCAAGGGGGUGACUCGGCCUCCCCACUGUCUGGGCCACACGAGCUCCGAGCAGGCUGGGCUGGCCGCAGAGACAGGGCCCCUCUGCCACCCUGGGUGAUGGGGGACCCUCUCUGGCCAGAACCCCAGGCCCGAGCUGCCUCGGAUCUUCACGUCGAGUGACUGUUUGGGGGGGAAAAGGGGCCAGUUGCCUGGACGACAGCCCCCCACCUCCAUCCGGGAACAAAGGGGCAGCCGGGGAGCCAAGAACGGCGUGUUCCUUGCCUGCCAACGUGACUGGCACAUCCUGGCAGCUGGCACCCGGACGGCCAUGGCCUGAGCCGCCGGGCCCGGCCACCCCAGACAAGGCCACUCAGUGUGGGGGGCGGUCGGGGGGGUGGCUGCAGCCCCGGGGGGAUCCAGUUCCCAGCGAGCUGGCCCUAAGCCUGUCCUUCCGGCACAUUCGGACCAGGAAGUCUGUCUGCGCUGCCUGCACACUUCUCAGAAAGCCCGGGGGCCUCAGAUGUCCCGCUCUGAGCUGGACAGGCCACCAGGACCCGGGGGGCGGGGGAGAUAAAGGCCACGUGGAAGCUUUGCGGCUGCCCGGCCCCCUGGUGCGGCAUUUCAGGGACCUGCCCGGUCUGGAACGCGCUGGCGCAGGGGACAGUGGGUCUCAGAGCCGCUCCCCUCCCCCAAAACCGCCACCGUCAUGCAGGGGACAGCGGGCAGCUGGCGCCAUCAGGGCGGGGGGCGGGGACGGGCCGGGGCCUGCAUGUUAAAAGACUCCGGCUCCCCACGGCGAGCCGGCCCCAGGAGACAAAACCUGGCCUUCUGGCCAUCGGGCCACCGCUGGGGACGGUCCACCCGUGGGCUGGAGCCGCAGCCGCGUGGGGAGAGACGCCGCUGGCCUGUCCCGGCUGGGGUGGGGCUGCCAGAAAAGACACAGGCCACGCGGGGAGACGAACAGUCUCCCAGCAGGAGUGGGUCCCUCGCCAUAUGCGGGACACACCGAUGCCACCGCGGCGUCUCGGGGAUGCACGUUUAUCUGCGGGGCCUGAAUUUUUAUUGGACAAAUCUGCCACCCUGGUCAGGGGGUGCUGGGGGAGCAAAAAAGGAGCUCGUCAACAGCCCCCUCAACUUGUGCCUCUGCGGGUCCCAGCCUCGGGGACGGCCCCGCGGUCCCCUCCGCCCCCACCGCCGGGGGCUCAGCCAGAGGCCUGUGUCGGCCUCCCCUCUGGACCCUGGCCUGUCCACCGUCCCUCCCAUCUGCCACCUGCCCUGCAGACCCGGCCAGGGGCCGUCGACUCCCGCCUGUCCCCCUCCUGCCCUUCCUCGCCCCUCGAAGGCUCCACCCCCUCCUUCCCGAGAGACCCGAGGGGGCCCUCGGCUGCUCUGAAUCCGACAGGUGCUCCCGCCAUGAAGGCCCCUUCCGCCAUGGGCUCCAACCAACCCCGACCCCCAGCCCCCUCCUCCAGCCGCUCGAGGGAGCUGUGGUUGCCCAAAAGCUUCCUGCUCUCCCAUCACCCCAACCUGAGUCAGAUCCCGCCCUCCUCCGCCCACAGCCCUCCAGGACUCCCAUCUCCCUCAGGAGAGAAGCCGAGUCCUCCUCGUGCCCCCCAGGCCCUGCACGACCUGCCCCGUCCCCUCCCUGCCCUCCCUCCUCCCUCUCUCCCCCUCCUCCUUCUGCUCCAGCCACAUGGCCUCCUCUUAUUUCUCCAGCCAGGCCUGGUCCUGUCCCAGGACCUUUGCACGGGCUGUUCCCACGGCGUGGAGCACACCUCCUCCAGAGAGCCACAUGUUUAGCUCCACCGUCUCCCCUCUGGGUCUCAGCUCCACUGUCCCCCUCACUGAGGGCUCCCUGGUUGACUUGGUUUAAAACAGCAGCCCAGUCAGGCUCCCCAUCCUCCCCUCCUGCUGUGUUUUUCUCCGCAGCUCACACGGCAAACUCCGGAAUGCAUUAUUUGGAGUCAUGAAGAUUGUCGCUGAGCUAACAUCUGUGCCAAUCUUCUAUUUUACGUGGGACGCUGCCGCAGCAUGGCUUGAUGAGUGGUGUAUAGGUCCAUGCUGAGAACCCAAACCCGCGAACCCUGGGCCACUGAAGCAGAGCAUGUAAACUUAACCUCUACCCGACCAGGCCAGCCCCUCACCCUCUGUUUUACCCACCUGGUCACCAGAGCCGGCUCAUCCAUCAGACACAGGAGACCCAGGGCCCGUGACACUCUGAGGGACCCACAGAAUGGCUUCAUUUUAAUGUCUCAAAAUCAGGAGAAAAAGAGAAAUAAAAGAACCCCAGUGCAGUCGCGCAAGAUCAGCUGUCACAUUUUUUCACGGAGGGAGGGGCCCCCAGUGGCAAACGUCUCACGUGGCCCUGCCCAUCCCGUGCUGCCCGGCACACAGCAGGCGCUUAAUAACUGUCUAUGGAAGGACUGAACAUCCGCUGAAUCGCUGGUCCCCACUCGUAACAGGAGACGCGGGACAAACGGGUCGGUGGACGGGCGGGGGCGGUCAGGGGGCGGCCAGGCGACACCGGACCCGGCAGAGACCAAGCCGGGAGCACAGCGCCACCUUGUGGCACAGGGUCGGCGGGGGGGGGGGGGAGGGCCCCCC